This 497-nucleotide ribosomal RNA is filed under the name uncultured bacterium. RNAcentral's name for it is "partial 16S ribosomal RNA". It matches the Rfam family "Bacterial small subunit ribosomal RNA", at positions 28 to 507 of the family's 1533-position model. The record is from RNAcentral.
GAUGAACGCUGGCGGCGUGCCUAAUACAUGCAAGUCGAACGAACAGAUAAUGAGCUUUCGCCCCUGACGGUAGCGGCUGACGGGCGAGUAACGCGUGGAUAACCUACCUAUUAUACGUGGAUAACUACGGAAAGCCGCAUCUGAUACCGCCUAAUAUAUUCUACCGCAGAGUUCAGUGGUGAAACGCGGCUUUGGUGUCACUUUUAGCUGAAUCCACGCCGCAUUAGCUAGUUGGUAAGGUAACGGCCUACCAAGGCAACGAAGCGUAGCCGACCUGAGAGGGUGAUCGGCCACACUGGAACUGAGACACGGUCCAGACUCCUACGGGAGGCAGCAGUAGGGAAUAUUGCGCAAUGGGCGAAAGCCUGACCCAGCAACGCCGCGUGAGUGAUGAAGGUCUUCGGAUUGUAAAGCCCUGUUGUUAGGAAAGAAAAGCUGCGUGAGUAAACAUCGAUGUUUUGACGGUACCUAAUGAAAAAGCACCGGCUAACUUCGUG